UACGGGAGGCAGCAGUGGGGAAUAUUGCACAAUGGGCGAAAGCCUGAUGCAGCUAUGCCGCGUGUAUGAAGAAGGCCUUAGGGUUGUAAAGUACUUUCAUCGGGGAGGAAAAAACAAAACUAAUAAUUUUAUUUCUUGACGUUACCCGAAAAAGAAGCACCGGCUAACUCCGUGCCAGCAGCCGCGGUAAUACGGGAGGGUGCUAGCGUUAAUCAGAAUUACUGGGCGUAAAGAGCACGUAGGUGGUUUUUUUAAGUUCAGAUGUGAAAUCCCUGGGCUUAACCUAGGAACUGCAUUUUGAAACUGAAAUACUAGAGUAUCGUAGAGGAGGUAGAAUUCUAGGUGUAGCGGUGAAAUGCGUAGAUAUCUGGAGGAAUACUUGUGGCGAAAGCGGCCUCCUAAACGAAUACUGACACUGAGGUGCGAAAGC
RNAcentral lists this ribosomal RNA (430 nucleotides) under uncultured bacterium. RNAcentral describes it as "bacterial SSU rRNA". It matches the Rfam family "Bacterial small subunit ribosomal RNA", at positions 340 to 760 of the family's 1533-position model. The record is from RNAcentral.